Pan troglodytes (chimpanzee) is the source of this 613-nucleotide long non-coding RNA. RefSeq lists it as uncharacterized. The transcript has 5 exons. The record is from RefSeq and is a predicted model, not a curated record. NCBI's taxonomy places the organism in Eukaryota, Metazoa, Chordata, Mammalia, Primates, Hominidae.
AGCUGAGAAUGUAAGCCUGUUGAAGCCAAGCAGGCAAGAAAAGCUGAAAGGAAGGGACUGAUCCCUCAGGCCUGUCUUUGCCUAGAUUUAUCAAUCAGGUGAAUGGUGACUUUCAGAGUUUUGCUAUGCUGUUCUAUUCCUGACACUCAUGGUGUGUGAGUUAGAAAUAUUGUUUGACAAAUUCAAUGUCAGGACUAGGCUAAUUUCAAUAGACAGCUUUCUGAAGAGGCUGGCAUAGUAUUCACCAAAUCCCAUAUUCAUGUUAUGGCAAGGAAAAUUCAGGCCCAGGGAAUUCUUGGGCAAAAACUUCGGAGAUGACAGAGGCAUUGGAUAAUGCAAGAGAUCACUCUGACCAAGUCGCAGGGGUCAAAAUGAUUGGAAAUAUUCCAAGUAAUGCCUGAUCAGCAGAGAGGAUCAAACUAUAGAAGAAAAGAUUAAGAACGGAAGACAGGAGAAACAAGUAAAAGACCAGGAACUCCAAACAGUAGAUGGAACACAGGCAGAGAAGGAGCUUGACAAGGGAUCUGGAUUUCGUAAACUGCAAAUGAGAGGAUAUUCAACAUGAGUUUCACUGAUGUCUGAAUUGAAAUUAAACCUGGUAUUCAGUCUAUAA